CUGGUACUGGCAGCGGGGAGGCAGGGACCUGGAGGGGUAUUUCUACGCUGGAGUGGAGGGACAUGGGAACAAGCUCAUGCUGAAGAGGAACAACAAUUGGCAGCAAACAUGGAAAAGCCUUUCACGGUGUGAGCUCAGCCUUUGUGGAGCAGCUCCCUUUCCUCCCAGGGUACUCAGGAAACUACCCAACCCUGUAACGUACACUGAAACAAUCCAACUGUGACAAGAUAUACUGGUAUAGGCAACAGGGAGGCAGGCAGCUGGAGAGGCUCUUCUAUUCUUAUGAAGACUGUUUGGUGAACUUCACAGCCGAGCCCAUGACAGCCCUGAGGAGGAACAAAAAAUGGGACCUAAACUGGAAAAACCUUUCACGGUUUGACUCAGCUAUGUAUUGCUACGUCUGCAGUACUGCACCGUGACAGAGCCCUGAGACAGCCUGAAAACCCCCAGAGAUAGAGCAUGAGAUUGAGACACUUUGAUGACUUUCAGCAUUUCACAUCUUAGGCCCUGCCUACAUUAAGGAACUAAACACUGGAGUAGCCACAUUGAACAUACCAGAAUAAGAUUCAUCAUUAUAAGCCCUGAUUUGCAUCAGUGCAGCA
This is a long non-coding RNA of Mauremys reevesii (Reeves's turtle), 602 nucleotides long. RefSeq lists it as uncharacterized. The transcript is spliced from 2 exons. The record is from RefSeq and is a predicted model, not a curated record. Lineage: Eukaryota; Metazoa; Chordata; Testudines; Geoemydidae.